RNAcentral lists this long non-coding RNA (230 nucleotides) under Elaeis guineensis (African oil palm). Its description in RNAcentral is "long non-coding RNA (EGUI_LNC021777)". The record is from RNAcentral. Lineage: Eukaryota; Viridiplantae; Streptophyta; Magnoliopsida; Arecales; Arecaceae.
UGACGAUAUACUAUAUUGACACAUUUCUUGCAUGGACACUUUAUCUGACUAGCACUGUCAGUCUUAUAUCGUGCAAACUCAAUAAAAUCUCGAACAUAUUUUUUAUAUUCAGACAAAAAUAUAUUUCUAACAUUCAUCCAAUUUUUAUUGAUAUCCAUCUAAUAAUAAAUAUAAAAAUUAUUAAUAAUAAAAAAAUUUUCAUUAGUAUUCAUCCGAAUCGGAUCCCGACC